GACGAACCGUGCAAACGUUAUUCGGAAUCACUGGGCUUAAAGCGCGUGUAGGCGGUGCCGCACGUCCGGUGUGAAAGCCCAGGGCUCAACCCUGGAAGUGCACUGGAUACGACGGCGCUGGAGUCCUGAAGAGGAGGGCGGAAUUCCCGGUGUAGCGGUGGAAUGCGCAGAUAUCAGGAGGAACACCGGUGGCGAAGGCGGGUCUCUGGGCAGUAACUGACGCUGAGGAGCGAAAGCGUGGGGAGCGAACAGG
Molecule: ribosomal RNA, 253 nt
Filed under: uncultured bacterium
Lineage: Bacteria
Description: partial 16S ribosomal RNA
Rfam family: Bacterial small subunit ribosomal RNA
Source: RNAcentral